AUAGCAGUUGCUGUCAAUUAACUUAAUUGAAUGGUGUCCCUGAACGGGAGGAGAGGUGCACCCUUCAGAGCAGGAGCCGGGCAGCAGCUGACUCCAUUGUCUCCCACAGUUACACCUCUGAGUCUACAUUGGCCAAGAGCCAUGGUGUGGGUGUGACUUCAUAAAAUAAAAAAAGAAAUCAUCUAUAAAUCAACAGUAGAGCACCAGAUUCACCCGACACAAGCAGGAGCCGCUAUAAUACAACUGGACAUCCUGGGAAAUUCACAAAAUCCUGGGUACGCCCUCCCCCCAAAUAACCUGUUACCAAUCUUGGAUGGUUUUAUUAUACCCAUAGCCACCUGAGUCCCAGACCACAUGGUGGACAGUUAUUGCGAGAGCCGGAAAUCAGCAUUGAUCGGCAGCUUGUAAGCGCUGCUGUGAACUAAGCUCCCUGACGCCGUAACCCUUUGACACUGUGGACGGCACUGAGUGUGGACGGAAUUUAAGUAUCUAUGUCUGUCUGAUAUGGGAAUUUCUCUGUGAUGUCAAUACUGUUUUAAUGUAAUAAACAAUGUUAAAAAGUUUUUUUAGAUGAUA
This is a long non-coding RNA of Pseudophryne corroboree (corroboree frog), 576 nucleotides long. RefSeq lists it as uncharacterized. NCBI's taxonomy places the organism in Eukaryota, Metazoa, Chordata, Amphibia, Anura, Myobatrachidae. The record is from RefSeq and is a predicted model, not a curated record. The transcript has 3 exons.